GAUUAGCCUGCGUCCGAUUAGCUAGUUGGUGGGGUAAGGGCCUACCAAGGCGACGAUCGGUAGCUGGUCUGAGAGGAUGACCAGCCACACUGGAACUGAGACACGGUCCAGACUCCUACGGGAGGCAGCAGUGGGGAAUAUUGGACAAUGGGGGCAACCCUGAUCCAGCAAUGCCGCGUGUGUGAAGAAGGCCUGAGGGUUGUAAAGCACUUUCAGUGGGGAGGAGGGUUGAUAGGUUAAGAGCUGAUUAACUGGACGUUACCCACAGAAGAAGCACCGGCUAACUCCGUGCCAGCAGCCGCGGUAAUACGGAGGGUGCGAGCGUUAAUCGGAAUUACUGGGCGUAAAGGGUGCGUAGGUGGUUGAUUAAGUUAUCUGUGAAAUUCCUGGGCUUAACCUGGGACGGUCAGAUAAUACUGGUUGACUCGAGUAUGGGAGAGGGUAGUGGAAUCUCCGGUGUAGCGGUGAAAUGCGUAGAGAUCGGAAGGAACACCAGUGGCGAAGGCGGCUACCUGGCCUAAUACUGACACUGAGGCACGAAAGCGUGGGGAGCAAACAGGAUUAGAUACCCUGGUAGUCCACGCUGUAAACGAUGUCAACUAGCUGUUGG
RNAcentral lists this ribosomal RNA (610 nucleotides) under uncultured Legionella sp. RNAcentral's name for it is "bacterial SSU rRNA". It matches the Rfam family "Bacterial small subunit ribosomal RNA", at positions 224 to 826 of the family's 1533-position model. Lineage: Bacteria; Pseudomonadati; Pseudomonadota; Gammaproteobacteria; Legionellales; Legionellaceae. The record is from RNAcentral.